AGUUAUAUAUUAGGCGACGAAUUACACUUGAGUUUUCCAAAAUUUUAUAUUGUGCUACGAUGUCUCUUUAUUCGUUGUCCAUAACAUUUAUAAGGGCAACGAAAUAGAUCUUGUUGCCUAAAAUAAUGAAAAAUAAAGCGCUGGGAAUUUGUUACAUACUUACAUUGUAUAUUUCACCCAAAAAAUUGAAUUUCAAAUAAACCGCCAUUAAAUUUCUAUCACGCUUGUACCGCCACUACCCACAUCUCAUCCUUAAUUGUUUUCAACUUUAUCCCUACUCUUCCAGAUUCUUAUAUUUUCAUUCUCCUCCAUCUAAAACUCGUUCCUCAACAAACUUAUGGUUUCAAUUAUAUAUAAAAAAAAAAUCUCCUUUUUUGUUUUCUUAAUCACCCCGUUAGAAUCUAUUGCGCUUAGUAUACUGCUUUUAUCUCUACAGCGCUUGAAUCGUAUUAAUUUGGGGGACGAAAAACGACAUCAAAUUGCAGCAAUGAUCAGAUUUCAUCACAAAUGUAAUUUGCUAUAUAUGAAGAAGUACAACUUCAACCACUUUGAUAAUAUUAUCGCAAAAGACAAGGAAAAUAAGGAGAGGAGACGAGUUGAUUGUGAUUGUUAGGCUUUACAUAGCAGAUCAUAGAUGAGUUAUGAAGAGGUUGUAAUUUUAUAUGAUGUCUUUGUAAUUGUUAAUGGAUCCUCAAAGAUUACUGAAUGUAGAAUUCUUUUAUGUUAUUUUUCAUAGUUAGGUAGGAUGAUUAUCGAUAUUUGUAAAAAACCUUGUGUAAGUUGGAUCAUAUUAAGAAAUUCAGUUUUCAUAGUAUUUGUUAUCGAGUUAUCAUGUAAUCUAUUUACAAUAACUUUUAGCAUUGUUUUCAA
Molecule: long non-coding RNA, 870 nt
Organism: Chenopodium quinoa (quinoa)
Lineage: Eukaryota; Viridiplantae; Streptophyta; Magnoliopsida; Caryophyllales; Amaranthaceae
Exons: 3
Source: RefSeq, a predicted model, not a curated record